UACGUAGGUGGCAAGCGUUGUCCGGAAUUAUUGGGCGUAAAGCGCGCGCAGGCGGGAAUACAAGUCUAUCUUAAAAGUGCGGAGCUCAACUCCGUGAGGGGGUAGAAACUGUAUUUCUUGAGUGCAGGAGAGGAAAGUGGAAUUCCCAGUGUAGCGGUGAAAUGCGUAGAGAUUGGGAGGAACACCAGUGGCGAAGGCGACUUUCUGGACUGUGUCUGACGCUGAGGCGCGAAAGCCAGGGGAGUGAACGGG
RNAcentral lists this ribosomal RNA (252 nucleotides) under uncultured microorganism. RNAcentral's name for it is "partial small subunit ribosomal RNA". It matches the Rfam family "Bacterial small subunit ribosomal RNA", at positions 524 to 776 of the family's 1533-position model. The record is from RNAcentral.